UACGAAGGGGGCUAGCGUUGCUCGGAAUUACUGGGCGUAAAGCGCACGUAGGCGGAUUGUUAAGUCAGGGGUGAAAUCCCGGGGCUCAACCCCGGAACUGCCUUUGAUACUGGGUAUCUCGAGUCCGAGAGAGGUGAGUGGAAUUCCGAGUGUAGAGGUGAAAUUCGUAGAUAUUCGGAGGAACACCAGUGGCGAAGGCGGCUCACUGGCUCGGUACUGACGCUGAGGUGCGAAAGCGUGGGGAGCAAACAGG
Molecule: ribosomal RNA, 253 nt
Filed under: uncultured bacterium
Lineage: Bacteria
Description: partial 16S ribosomal RNA
Rfam family: Bacterial small subunit ribosomal RNA
Source: RNAcentral